This 22-nucleotide microRNA is filed under the name Caenorhabditis briggsae. RNAcentral's name for it is "Cbr-Mir-7587_3p* (star (passenger))". The record is from RNAcentral. Lineage: Eukaryota; Metazoa; Nematoda; Chromadorea; Rhabditida; Rhabditidae.
UAACGUUGAGGAAUUUUAGAAC